Non-coding RNA from Gymnopus androsaceus JB14, 90 nucleotides. The record is from the annotation of a GenBank genome assembly. NCBI's taxonomy places the organism in Eukaryota, Fungi, Basidiomycota, Agaricomycetes, Agaricales, Omphalotaceae.
GCCCCCAUUGUCUAAUGGUUAUACCAUCAGACUUCUACUUGCAAAGGGGCUGAAUCUGGAGAUUGCAGGUUUGAGUCCUGCCAGGGGAUA